This 435-nucleotide ribosomal RNA is filed under the name uncultured bacterium. RNAcentral describes it as "partial 16S ribosomal RNA". It matches the Rfam family "Bacterial small subunit ribosomal RNA", at positions 29 to 506 of the family's 1533-position model. The record is from RNAcentral.
AACGAACGCUGGCGGCAUGCCUAACACAUGCAAGUCGAACGAUGGUCUUCGGAUCAUAGUGGCGCACGGGUGCGGAACGCGUGGGAAUCUGCCCUUGGGUUCGGAAUAACAGUUGGAAACGACUGCUAAUACCGGAUGAUGUCGAUAAGACCAAAGAUUUAUCGCCCGAGGAUGAGCCCGCGUCGGAUUAGCUAGUUGGUGGGGUAAAGGCCUACCAAGGCGACGAUCCGUAGCUGGUCUGAGAGGAUGAUCAGCCACACUGGGACUGAGACACGGCCCAGACUCCUCCGGGAGGGAGCAGUGGGGAAGAUGGGACACUGGGCGCAAGCCUGAUCCAGCCAGGCCGCGUGAGUGAUGAAGGCCUUAGGGUUGUAAAGCUCUUUUACCCGGGAAGAUAAUGACUGUACCGGGAGAAUAAGCCCCGGCAAACUCCGU